Molecule: long non-coding RNA, 916 nt
Filed under: Equus caballus (horse)
Lineage: Eukaryota; Metazoa; Chordata; Mammalia; Perissodactyla; Equidae
Description: lncRNA (ENSECAG00000047981.1)
Source: RNAcentral
CAUACCUCCAGGCCAGAAAUGGGUGUGGCUGCUGAAUAAUUCAUAGAAAUUCAUAGAGAGGUUAGAGGAGGGGUGGUGUGGAGAGAAGACUGAAUUUCUGUUCCCGAAUCUAACAGUGAGAAGCAUUUGAAGCCAGAGCCCACCAGAACAUGAGGCUAACCUACAACCAGCUUAUCUUGCCUGGACUGCUAAAGACCAUAUUAAUAUCUUGUAGCCAUUAUUUAAAAACUUAACAGAUACAAAGCUCUGUUUCAGCCAGUCAAUUGAUAUGUAUUUAUUGGGCAGCUGGCUGGCAGUCACAUGAUCUGGGCUCAUAAUCUGGCUGUGAAGAUAAGAUGGCCCCACGGAACUACUUUUUGCUGCGGAUGGGUGACACUCUUCUCUUGAGGCUGGACUGAGAACAUUCAACUCAUUUCAUCCCAGAGGUGGCUGUGAAGGAGCAGCUAUGGUGGCUGUGAUGAUCUGAAUUACAGUGUCACUCUGCCAACAAGAUCACAACUUCCAGUUCACAAUACAACAGGAAAAGAUGCUCUGCUUGCUUAUAUAAAGGUCUAAAAGGAGGAGAAAUGAAGAGUUCUGGGAGCGAUAGAUACUGGUCACACUUGCUUUAGGUAUGUCACUAAAGAAGAACCAUAAACAGCAUCUGAAUCUCCAGUUUAGUCAGAGAAACCAGAAGAGAAGAAAAAGAACUUCCCAGGAAGCUGACCCACCCUGGAGGACAACAUGCCUUGGCGUGCAGCAGUGGUCACUGUACACAGGGGAGAAGCUGGCUCAGCAGCGCCCCCCCAGGACAGGACAGGCAUCAGGCUGGGCUCCCCUGUCCGUGGCUCUGCCAGCAGUCGUGAGGCUGGGCCAGACUUCUGUCUUGCCUCCCCAUCCUUUGCAGAAGAGGGACAGCGAAAAGAAUCUGACGGAG